AUGACGGUACCCGCAGAAUAAGCCCCGGCUAACUUCGUGCCAGCAGCCGCGGUAAUACGAAGGGGGCCAGCGUUGUUCGGAAUCACUGGGCGUAAAGCGUACGCAGGCGGAUUGAUAAGUCAGGGGUGAAAUCCCGGGGCUCAACCUCGGAAUUGCCUUUGAUACUGUCUGUCUCGAGUUCGGGAGAGGUUGGCGGAAUUCCUAGUGUAGAGGUGAAAUUCGUAGAUAUUAGGAAGAACACCAGUGGCGAAGGCCGCCAACUGGCCCGAUACUGACGCUCAUGUACGAAAGCGUGGGGAGCAAACAGGAUUAGAUACCCUGGUAGUCCACGCUGUAAACUAUGGAUGCUACCGUUGGGGAGCUUGCUCUUCAGUGGCGCAGCUAACGUCUUAAGCAUCCCGCCUGGGGAGUACGGUCGCAAGAUUAAAACUCA
RNAcentral lists this ribosomal RNA (433 nucleotides) under Rhodomicrobium vannielii. Its description in RNAcentral is "bacterial SSU rRNA". It matches the Rfam family "Bacterial small subunit ribosomal RNA", at positions 469 to 903 of the family's 1533-position model. Lineage: Bacteria; Pseudomonadati; Pseudomonadota; Alphaproteobacteria; Hyphomicrobiales; Hyphomicrobiaceae. The record is from RNAcentral.